RNAcentral lists this ribosomal RNA (491 nucleotides) under uncultured bacterium. RNAcentral describes it as "partial 16S ribosomal RNA". It matches the Rfam family "Bacterial small subunit ribosomal RNA", at positions 29 to 506 of the family's 1533-position model. The record is from RNAcentral.
AGUGAACGCUGGCGGUAGGCCUAACACAUGCAAGUCGAACGGCAGCACAGUAAGAGCUUGCUCUUACGGGUGGCGAGUGGCGGACGGGUGAGGAAUACAUCGGAAUCUACUUUUUCGUGGGGGAUAACGUAGGGAAACUUACGCUAAUACCGCAUACGACCUACGGGUGAAAGCAGGGGAUCUUCGGACCUUGCGCGAUUGAAUGAGCCGAUGUCGGAUUAGCUAGUUGGCGGGGUAAAGGCCCACCAAGGCGACGAUCCGUAGCUGGUCUGAGAGGAUGAUCAGCCAAACUGGACCGGGGCCACGGCCAGGCCUCCUAGGGGAGGCAGAAGUGGGAAAUAUUGACAAAGGGCCGAAAGCCUGACCAAGCAUACCGGGUUGGUUAAAGAAGGCCUUGGGUUUGUAAAGCCUUUUGUUUGGAAAAGAAAAGCAGCAGGUUAAUACCCCGUGGUCCUGCGGUAACCAAAAGAAGAAGAACGGGUUACUUUCGU